AUACGUAGGGGGCGAGCGUUGUCCGGAAUUAUUGGGCGUAAAGGGUUCGCAGGCGGCCUUUUAAGUCAGAUGUGAAAGCCCACGGCUUAACCGUGGUAAGCAUUUGAAACUGGAAGGCUUGAGUUAAGGAGAGGAAAGUGGAAUUCCUAGUGUAGCGGUGAAAUGCGUAGAUAUUAGGAGGAAUACCAGUGGCGAAGGCGACUUUCUGGACUUAAACUGACGCUGAGGAACGAAAGCGUGGGGAGCAAACAGGAUUAGAUGCCCUGGUAGUCCACGCCGUAAACGAUGAGUGCUAGGUGUUGGGGGUCAAACCUCGGUGCCGCAGCUAACGCAUUAAGCACUCCGCCUGGGGAGUACGUACGCAAGUAUGAAACUCAAAUGAAUUGACGGGG
This 392-nucleotide ribosomal RNA is filed under the name uncultured bacterium. RNAcentral describes it as "partial 16S ribosomal RNA". It matches the Rfam family "Bacterial small subunit ribosomal RNA", at positions 523 to 918 of the family's 1533-position model. The record is from RNAcentral.